CCUACGGGAGGCAGCAGUGGGGAAUAUUGGACAAUGGGGGGAACCCUGAUCCAGCCAUGCCGCGUGUGUGAAGAAGGCCCUCGGGUUGUAAAGCACUUUCAGUGAGGAAGAACGCCUGGUGGUUAAUACCCAUCAGGAAAGACAUCACUCACAGAAGAAGCACCGGCUAACUCCGUGCCAGCAGCCGCGGUAAUACGGAGGGUGCGAGCGUUAAUCGGAAUUACUGGGCGUAAAGCGCGCGUAGGUGGCUUGAUAAGCCGGUUGUGAAAGCCCCGGGCUCAAACUGGGAACGGCAUCCGGAACUGUCAAGCUAGAGUGCAGGAGAGGAAGGUAGAAUUCCCGGUGUAGCGGUGAAAUGCGUAGAGAUCGGGAGGAAUACCAGUGGCGAAGGCGGCCUUCUGGACUGACACUGACACUGAGGUGCGAAAGCGUGGGUAGCAAACAGGAUUAGAUACCCUGGUAGUC
RNAcentral lists this ribosomal RNA (465 nucleotides) under Vreelandella stevensii. RNAcentral describes it as "partial 16S ribosomal RNA". It matches the Rfam family "Bacterial small subunit ribosomal RNA", at positions 338 to 795 of the family's 1533-position model. The record is from RNAcentral. Lineage: Bacteria; Pseudomonadati; Pseudomonadota; Gammaproteobacteria; Oceanospirillales; Halomonadaceae.